Molecule: ribosomal RNA, 253 nt
Filed under: uncultured bacterium
Lineage: Bacteria
Description: partial 16S ribosomal RNA
Rfam family: Bacterial small subunit ribosomal RNA
Source: RNAcentral
UACGAAGGGUGCAAGCGUUACUCGGAAUUACUGGGCGUAAAGCGUGCGUAGGUGGUUCGUUAAGUCUGUCGUGAAAGCCCCGGGCUCAACCUGGGAAUGGCGAUGGAUACUGGCUCGCUAGAGUGCGGUAGAGGAGAGUGGAAUUCCCGGUGUAGCAGUGAAAUGCGUAGAGAUCGGGAGGAACAUCAGUUGCGAAGGCGGCUCUCUGGACCAGCACUGACACUGAGGCACGAAAGCGUGGGGAGCAAACAGG